GUCGUCGAGUGGGGUUAGUGGCGACGGGUGAGUACACGUGGGCAAUCUGCCCUGCACUCUGGGACAAGCCCUGGAAACGGGGUCUAAUACCGGAUACUGAUUGUCUUGGGCAUCCUUGAUGAUCGAAAGCUCCGGCGGUGCAGGAUGAGCCCGCGGCCUAUCAGCUUGUUGGUGAGGUAACGGCUCACCAAGGCGACGACGGGUAGCCGGCCUGAGAGGGCGACCGGCCACACUGGGACUGAGACACGGCCCAGACUCCUACGGGAGGCAGCAGUGGGGAAUAUUGCACAAUGGGCGCAAGCCUGAUGCAGCGACGCCGCGUGAGGGAUGACGGCCUUCGGGUUGUAAACCUCUUUCAGCAGGGAAGAAGCGAAAGUGACGGUACCUGCAGAAGAAGCGCCGGCUAACUACGUGCCAGCAGCCGCGGUAAUACGUAGGGCGCAAGCGUUGUCCGGAAUUAUUGGGCGUAAAGAGCUCGUAGGCGGCUUGUCGCGUCGGUUGUGAAAGCCCGGGGCUUAACCCCGGGUCUGCAGUCGAUACGGGCAGGCUAGAGUUCGGUAGGGGAGAUCGGAAUUCCUGGUGUAGCGGUGAAAUGCGCAGAUAUCAGGAGGAACACCGGUGGCGAAGGCGGAUCUCUGGGCCGAUACUGACGCUGAGGAGCGAAAGCGUGGGGAGCGAACAGGAUUAGAUACCCUGGUAGUCCACGCCGUAAACGGUGGGCACUAGGUGUGGGCAACAUUCCACGUUGUCCGUGCCGCAGCUAACGCAUUAAGUGCCCCGCCUGGGGAGUACGGCCGCAAGGCUAAAACUCAAAGGA
RNAcentral lists this ribosomal RNA (817 nucleotides) under Streptomyces sp. Its description in RNAcentral is "bacterial SSU rRNA". It matches the Rfam family "Bacterial small subunit ribosomal RNA", at positions 78 to 908 of the family's 1533-position model. Lineage: Bacteria; Bacillati; Actinomycetota; Actinomycetes; Kitasatosporales; Streptomycetaceae. The record is from RNAcentral.